Long non-coding RNA from Armigeres subalbatus, 1843 nucleotides. RefSeq lists it as uncharacterized. NCBI's taxonomy places the organism in Eukaryota, Metazoa, Arthropoda, Insecta, Diptera, Culicidae. The transcript is spliced from 3 exons. The record is from RefSeq and is a predicted model, not a curated record.
GUGAAAUCAGCAGUGAUUCAGUUUGAUUCCAAAUUUUCGAACACUUUUUUAAAUUGAAUCUGAAACAAAAUAGAACAAAGUAGGUCGUAUUCCCAGCAGUGUUCUAUUCCUUCCAUUUUACUGUGGAGAUGUAUACUUGUAUUAGUGACACAAAGUUGUAAACAAAUCGAUGUCAAGUGUAGAGGAAUUUUGCAUCGCAAGUUUUAGGAAAACAACUUUUAUUACCAAGUCAUAUUUUCCCUCACGGCACGGAUUAUAUUUAUAAUUACCGACGAUCCAUCAUUGUUAUCCGAUUUCGGGGAAAAUCAAUGCUCUUGGUGUAGAAAGGCAAACAUAAGCUGCUACGGAAAACAAGCCAGGAUUGCUUCGAUCAGUGAACACCGAUAAGCUGGUUUGGCUUAAAAACGCUGAAAGGAAGUGAUUUAAAUAAGUACAGCCGAACGGCACACGGGGUCCGGAAAUAUUCAUCUUUGUGAACCAUGGACUGGUUGAUUCGAUCUUGUGGAUAUCUUAUCACGCUGAAGCUCCAAUUGGGUGUCCGUGCUUUGCUGAUAACCAAAUUCAUUGAGUUGUAGAAAAAACACUGGAGAACAGAGCAAGAAAGAUCGGCAAGAGUAUGACCUUGAGGUCUACCGAUUUUAUAAAGCAUUCGUCAGCUGAUGUGGUGCGUCACUGACAAAAGCAACCAGCUUGUAAACAUUCAUGAUGUACAGCCUCCUAAGUUACUGCUGCGGAUGCAGAAGUAAGCUCGCUGCUCGCCAAUACCCGGUGAUGACCAACACAUGAUAUGAUUUAGCAAAAGGCCAGAUGCAGAAGCUUAACGGGGUCAAGGAAGCAGAGCGUUUUUAAUAUUGAACUUUGACGGAUAAACCACCGAUAAACUUUGACUAAACAACGGUAACUACGAGGAAAAAUGUGCUAUCAACAUCAUUGCACUCGAUUACAAUUACAAUGUUAACCACAGCGACGACGAUGUCAUUAGUUAUGAUGAAGAACAUGACGGAAAUGCUUACCAUUCAAGAACCUAUCACUAGAUAACCAUUCAUUGAUACAUCAUUGAUGAUGAGAAACAUUUUAGCAAAUGCGCGUCCACAGGAUAAGUUGCAUAUCAUCAUUGUGUGAUUAUACGAACAACUGAUUUCAUCUACAACAUUUACCACCACGCGAAUCAUAAUUACUACCUAUCAUGAUGUCCUGAUAUCACGAUGUGGGGCUACGCUGCGGUUGUUCCAGAACAAAAAGGAUAGAGAUUAACAUGAUCAUGAGUACGGCAACAUUUUAUAUAAUGAAGGACACUAGGAUAAGAAUUACAUUUGAUUCCAAACGAAAUUCACUCUUCCCACUAUUUCAUUUCUCAUUAACUGACCACUGGCAAGCAAUGGAUAUUAGAAAGCAAUGAGAACAAUAAAACUGUACAUGAUGAAAGUACGCUACGAGAGCACAUAAUCAAAUAUAUUUUGUUAACAGUUUGAAAUAGGAAAUAAACAUACACAUAAACAUAUGUUAUGAAAAGUUGAAAUUAUUCGUUGGUAUUGUAGACGUCGGAUUCAUCAAUAAUAAAGGACUCGUACAAAGCAGAAGUUCCUGCUUCGUCUUUCUGCUGGCUGCUCGCAUAAGAGCACUCGGCUUCUACAUACGUGUUCUCGUUUUGGUAGAGAUCGUUCAAAAGCCUCCUUUUCUUAACCAUUAAAAUUUCUGAUGAGACAUGAUCCAACCCUUCAAUGUUUGUUGUUAUCAGUUUUAGCUGGUUUGCCUCCUCAAGUGCAGCUACAUGGCGUUCGAGUAAGGUGUUUUUAUCACUCACCGCUGCAGCCACCUUUUCCAGUGCUUCUAUACGUCUCAU